AUUGAACGCUGGCGGAAUGCUUUACACAUGCAAGUCGAGCGGCAGCACGGGGGUAACCCUGGUGGCGAGCGGCGAACGGGUGAGUAAUACAUCGGAACAUGCCCAGUCGUGGGGGAUAACACUUCGAAAGAAGUGCUAAUACCGCAUACGUCCUGAGGGAGAAAGCGGGGGAUCGCAAGACCUCGCGCGAUUGGAGUGGCCGAUGUCAGAUUAGCUAGUUGGUGGGGUAAAGGCCUACCAAGGCAACGAUCUGUAGCUGGUCUGAGAGGAUGAUCAGCCACACUGGGACUGAGACACGGCCCAGACUCCUACGGGAGGCAGCAGUGGGGAAUUUUGGACAAUGGGGGCAACCCUGAUCCAGCCAUGCCGCGUGAGUGAAGAAGGCCUUCGGGUUGUAAAGCUCUUUCGGCAGGAACGAAACGGUGAGCUCUAACAUAGCUUGCCAAUGACGGUACCUGAAGAAGAAGCACCGGCUAACUACGUG
This 484-nucleotide ribosomal RNA is filed under the name uncultured bacterium. RNAcentral's name for it is "partial 16S ribosomal RNA". It matches the Rfam family "Bacterial small subunit ribosomal RNA", at positions 30 to 507 of the family's 1533-position model. The record is from RNAcentral.